This is a non-coding RNA of Echinops telfairi (small Madagascar hedgehog), 372 nucleotides long. NCBI's taxonomy places the organism in Eukaryota, Metazoa, Chordata, Mammalia, Afrosoricida, Tenrecidae. The record is from the annotation of a RefSeq genome assembly.
AUGGACAUGAGGGCCCCUGCGCAGCUCCUCAGCCUCCUGCUUCUCUGGCUCCCAGGUGCCAGAUGUGACAUCGUGAUGACACAGUCUCCAUCCCUCCUGUCUGCAAAUCUAGGAGAGACUGCCACCCUCACCUGCAGGGCAAGUCAGAGUGUCGCCUCUUGGUUACACUGGUAUCAACAGACACUAGGGAAAAUUCCUAAGCUCCUGAUCUACAAGGCAUUGACUUUGCAGUCUGGGGUCUCAACACGUUUUAGUGGCAGUGGAUCUGGGACAGACUUCACCCUCACCAUCAGGGGUCUGCAGCCUGAAGAUGCUGGAUCAUACGAUUGUCAACAGGAUUAUAGUUACCCUUUCACAAGGACAAAAACAUAA